Long non-coding RNA from Ailuropoda melanoleuca (giant panda), 80 nucleotides. RefSeq lists it as uncharacterized. The record is from RefSeq and is a predicted model, not a curated record. NCBI's taxonomy places the organism in Eukaryota, Metazoa, Chordata, Mammalia, Carnivora, Ursidae. The transcript is spliced from 3 exons.
CAAAAUCAGAGAAGGUAUGUCAUGAAAUAGUCACUAAUUUCUCCAUGAACAUCUAGAAAGUGCUUUUCCAUACAUCUCUG